GUAAUUCGAUGACAAGACAACAUCAAUGUGAUACCUUAAGAAUGGGAUACAUGGGGAAUCUUAAAUGAAUUGAGACCACAUGAAAGGGCUCUAAUUGAGAAACCAUGAUCCAUUCUUUCUCAUCAUGAUGUAGUAUAAAGGGGUGCUCUAGUGUUCUAGUUCAUUUUUUGAACACCGUGUACAAACUGAUUGGUGCACCCUCUGUUGGUAGCACCUGUAGGUGCCCCUAGUGCUAGGCUGCCUGUCCAUCCACCUGCGCCAUGAUCAUCCUGUAGCAAGAUGUUGUCCAUACAUAGUUUGUGUCAUGCAAGUCUCAAUCGUAUGAUAUCGACUCCGUAGUCACAGUGUAUUCAUCUUUGGUCAGUUCAUGACUUCUGAUCGGAUAUCCGAUUAGAAGAGACCAAUGUUUUCCUUUCUCCUCUCAUCUGGUUCUAGCAUCUUGUAACAUAUCUCCUGCCCACCUGUGAGAAAUCAAUGUUGACAAUAGCAUAAUAUAUUAUACCCUCGGUGAUUC
Molecule: long non-coding RNA, 514 nt
Filed under: Oryza brachyantha (malo sina)
Lineage: Eukaryota; Viridiplantae; Streptophyta; Magnoliopsida; Poales; Poaceae
Description: long non-coding RNA (OBRA_LNC001506)
Source: RNAcentral